UGUGGGUCAGGAAUUUGGAUAGGGCACAGAGGCAGUGGCUUGUCUGUCAUCCCCAGUGCCUGGGUUCUCAGCCGAGAAGACUCCAAAGCUGGAGGUGACUUGAUGAUGGGGUAUUCUGGCACUGCCUCUCCUUGUGUCUGGUGGCCUUUGCUGACCCUGAAGACCUUCUCUGUGAUGUCAUCUGGAGCCCCUACACAUGGCUUCUCUGUGUGGUGGUGCAUCCACCCAGACUAGUUGGGAAAUCCUCGGAGCAUGGUGGCAGGCCCCAAGAGUGAGGGUCACAAGAGAGCCAGGCCUUUUUAGGAUCUAGCUUCGGAAGUUGCGUACCACCUGUAAUGCCCUGUGAGUGGAAGGAGUCACAAAGCUCUGCCCAGCUAGGUUCAAGAUGAGGGUCUGUAGACCCCCACCUCUCAAUGAGAUGAGUAGCAGAGCCCGUUGUGAGAAGGAUGUAUGGGCUGGGAGGUAUUGUGAUGGCAUUGCCAAAAGUGAUCUCAUUUGAACCAGUUAGUCACCUCACCUCUGUUCUUCAGGCUUAUUCCUGAGCCUGCACUCUGCUUCGUGCUACCUCCGUGCUACAGUUACCCAUGACCCCCUUCUUUGCUGAUCAGAAGUCUAGGCAUCCUUUAGUACCCAGCUCAGUCUGCAGACUGCCAGCAACAGACGUAGAGGGAAAAGCAAAGCUCUUCUCUGUUAUGUUUAAGGAGACAGUGAGCAUACUUCGGCUCAUGGAAACCAUUAUCUGCUAAGCUGAAGUCAUUAAAAUGGUCAACAUUCA
Panthera uncia (snow leopard) is the source of this 775-nucleotide long non-coding RNA. RefSeq lists it as uncharacterized. The transcript is spliced from 2 exons. The record is from RefSeq and is a predicted model, not a curated record. Lineage: Eukaryota; Metazoa; Chordata; Mammalia; Carnivora; Felidae.